This is a non-coding RNA of Dipodomys ordii (Ord's kangaroo rat), 81 nucleotides long. The record is from Rfam. Lineage: Eukaryota; Metazoa; Chordata; Mammalia; Rodentia; Heteromyidae.
UGGCACUAUCAGGUGUAACAGCAACUCCAUGUGGACUGUGAAGCAAUUCCCAGUGGAGCUGCUGUUACUUCUGAUGGUCAC